AGGGAGCCAAGGAAAGCCUGCGGCACCAACAGCUUCCCUUCCUGGCAGGAGGAGAGGCCACUUGCUGACACCGAGGUGGACAGCGCAGGCUGGGGGUCUGCAGCCCUGUUGAUGGAAAGGUGCGGAGCAGCUGCAGGGCACCAGGCAGGGAACGGACCAGAAUCCCAAAUGAUGCCUGUGUAGGGCUGAGGGUUCGGCUGAGGUUCUGUUGAGGGAUCUGGGCCCCAGCUAGUGGGUGUGGUCACACGGCCUUUUCAGGGGUGUGAGCGCCCACAUACCUAUUUGAAGAAGGGGCUGCAGAGGUCCCCAGAGUGGGCCAGGGAAAGCAGGUACAGUCAGAAGACAAGGGGGCAGCAGAGUGUCUGUGUCGGCCGGAGCAGCAGUGAGAUGUCUGCCUGCAGGUCCCUCCUUGAGGUGGACACCACGGAGGCCAAGAGGGGAGUGGACAAGGGGAGAGCUCAGGAAGUAAGGCUGUCCAUGGCACGAGGGAGGGAAGGCAGGCAGCGGGCAGGGGAGUGCGGUCAGAGAGGACGCCUGCAGGAUGGACUGGGGGAAGUAAAGGCGGGGGGUGUGGAAGCCCAGGACAUGGCCCAUGGUGUUCUCUAACUGCCGUUAGCUCUGGAGACAUUUGCAACCUCCUCCGAAGACACAGGCGGCAUCUAGGGCAUUUCGUUUGCUGAGGGCAGGGGGACAAACGGCCUGGACAGACAGUACUGAGACGG
Molecule: long non-coding RNA, 722 nt
Filed under: Homo sapiens (human)
Lineage: Eukaryota; Metazoa; Chordata; Mammalia; Primates; Hominidae
Description: HSALNT0028770
Source: RNAcentral